This 609-nucleotide long non-coding RNA is filed under the name Vigna radiata. Its description in RNAcentral is "long non-coding RNA (VRAD_LNC012435)". Lineage: Eukaryota; Viridiplantae; Streptophyta; Magnoliopsida; Fabales; Fabaceae. The record is from RNAcentral.
UCAUCUUAUCCACUCUCAUAUAUCUACUCUUCUUAUUUAAUUCACUUAUUUAUCUAAUUGCCAUGCAUACUUUCUUAAUUACCCUUAACCCAAUCCCUUGGUGAAAAGAGCCUAUUACUAAUUACCGGCUUGCUAUCCCUAGCCUCCCCUAGUAACCAAUAAUGCAAUGCGAUCUGAAGCAAAUACAAUUGACCGUCCUACCCUUAUCCCUAGGCGAUAUUGGCAUAAUCAAGGAAUUUCCCACCAGUUCAUGACAUUACCGUACGUCCCCAUAUUGAUAAAGACAAACAUCUUUUACUGAAUGAGUUAAACAAUAAAAGCAUUGAGCGCAGAUGAGAACCCAACAAUUGAUAAAUAAGUAUAUGACAAGCAUAUGAAAUAAAUAAGAAUUUCAAUAUAUGAGAGUUUCAAAAGAUUACAUUGUUCCCCAACAACAUCAUUGACAUGGUGAAACUAGAUGAAAAUAAUGAAAGAAUGGAAGAAAUAACCUUAAACUUGGUUGAAUGGAGUCUAAGCAUCCAAGGAACCUCCUCCAAGGUGUGUGGAAUAGCUCUGGACGUUCUCUCUGCCAAAAGAAUCCCUUUCUAAUUCGCACUAGGGCUAUAUAUA